RNAcentral lists this ribosomal RNA (495 nucleotides) under uncultured bacterium. RNAcentral describes it as "partial 16S ribosomal RNA". It matches the Rfam family "Bacterial small subunit ribosomal RNA", at positions 28 to 507 of the family's 1533-position model. The record is from RNAcentral.
GACGAACGCUGGCGGCGUGCCUAAUACAUGCAAGUAGAACGCUGAAGGAGGAGCUUGCUUCUCUGGAUGAGUUGCGAACGGGUGAGUAACGCGUAGGUAACCUGCCUGGUAGCGGGGGAUAACUAUUGGAAACGAUAGCUAAUACCGCAUAAUAGUAGAUGUUGCAUGACAUUUGCUUAAAAGGUGCAAUUGCAUCACUACCAAAUGGACCUGCGUUGUAUUAGCUAGUUGGUGAGGUAACGGCUCACCAAGGCGACGAUACAUAGCCGACCUGAGAGGGUGAUCGGCCACACUGGGACUGAGACACGGCCCAGACUCCUACGGGAGGCAGCAGUAGGGAAUCUUCGGCAAUGGACGGAAGUCUGACCGAGCAACGCCGCGUGAGUGAAGAAGGUUUUCGGAUCGUAAAGCUCUGUUGUAAGAGAAGAACGAGUGUGAGAGUGGAAAGUUCACACUGUGACGGUAUCUUACCAGAAAGAGACGGCUAACUACGUG